GGUGCCCCGGGUUCGGUGAUAAGUAAUUGGACCCGACAGUCAAUAGCCCAGGGGGCUGUCUCUAGCAGUGGUGAGCAUGCCUAGUUUACUAGGAAGCCUAAAGCUGCAAUACGGCGCCCACGUUACAUUCUGGGGUUCCAUUGACGCCAUCGAGUUCGGGGUACUU
This 166-nucleotide non-coding RNA is filed under the name Bdellovibrionales bacterium. RNAcentral's name for it is "6S RNA". It matches the Rfam family "6S / SsrS RNA". From Rfam's summary of the family: E. coli 6S RNA was the first non coding RNA to be sequenced, but its function was unknown until recently. It consists of 184 nucleotides that fold into an extended hairpin structure with a large single-stranded internal bulge. The 6S RNA specifically associates with RNA polymerase holoenzyme containing the sigma70 specificity factor. The record is from RNAcentral. Lineage: Bacteria; Pseudomonadati; Bdellovibrionota; Bdellovibrionia; Bdellovibrionales.